CUCAGUUAAAAAUGACCGGUUUUUGCUCAAGUGACGUGAAUCGGCGUUUGCACACAGAUACUGCAGAAAGCGUAGGCUGUCUUUUAGGGUAUGACCACACAAUCGGGUAGUGUCGCUAUCUGAAGAAGAUCUCUGGAAAUCUCGAAGUCCUUUGUAGCAUGUGAAACGACACGUUUCUCGUCCUCCUGUUUUGCCGCAUUCUCCGGGUUUUGCGAGGACUUUCGCUGUAAUCCAGUUAUUUGUGCUACUAGAAUUCAGUUCGUGGGAGAUCCUACCGAUGUACGCCUCGCCGUAAUGGAAGAAUCGAGACCCAAAGAUGGCGGAGUCAGAUGCCAAUUGUAGUUUCUGCCUUUCGCUUUUUGACUAUUGGCCGAUGCCGUGUGACCUGAGGCAUGACCAUCUCUACUGCAGUAAUGCUAGUGGUGGGCUCUUGAUGUGCUUCUUAUAGCUGCUGGCACUGGAAACAGUCAUACAAGGGAGACUGAUGCAAAUGUUGAAUGGCACACUUCUUGCACAUUAAAUGGUUGCAUUGGAGUUCAACUGGGAUGUUGACAACUUUUCACACAGGGUGCACUUGAACGAGUCAAACAGGGCUUCUGGUGCUACUGUUUCUAUUUGUUGGAUUAGGUCAGUCAAUUUGAUUGCUGACUGACCUGUGAGAACAAGCUGAUUCUUUUUUCAAUAUUUGGGUGGUCUUCCUUCUUUCUUCUGUUGCUGACAACUACAGCAGGUGUUGCAGUUUUCUGAGUGUACCAUCCACUCUCUGCAGAAAGGUACAAGAAUAGAGGCUCCUUGCCUCUUUGUAAAUCAAUGCACCGCUAGAUGGCAGCAGACACAGAAAUUGGUAGGAUGCACAGAAACAUUAUCUGCUCCAACAUCUAUCUUGUACAACUGGAGAAUCCUGUUUUUGUGGUCUAGACAUUUGUACUGACAUCCUCUCGAUUGAACCUGGGGGCACAUAACCUGCGAAGCUCUCGUACGGAAAGGAUGUGAUGUGCCAUAUCCAUAGACUAGACUGACAACACUUGUAUACUGGUUAACU
Molecule: long non-coding RNA, 1042 nt
Organism: Corticium candelabrum
Lineage: Eukaryota; Metazoa; Porifera; Homoscleromorpha; Homosclerophorida; Plakinidae
Exons: 3
Source: RefSeq, a predicted model, not a curated record